This 1474-nucleotide ribosomal RNA is filed under the name metagenome. Its description in RNAcentral is "bacterial SSU rRNA". It matches the Rfam family "Bacterial small subunit ribosomal RNA". The record is from RNAcentral.
AGAGUUUGAUCCUGGCUCAGGACGAACGCUGGCGGCGUGUCUAACACAUGCAAGUCGAACGGACGAGGCCCCUUCGGGGACCGAGUUAGUGGCGGACGGGUGAGUAACGCGUGAGCAACCUGCCUUUCAGAGGGGGACAACAGUUGGAAACGACUGCUAAUACCGCAUGAUGCAGCGAGAUCGCAUGGUCUUGCUGUCAAAGAUUUAUCGCUGAAAGAUGGGCUCGCGUCUGAUUAGCUAGUUGGAGGGGUAACGGCCCACCAAGGCGACGAUCAGUAGCCGGACUGAGAGGUUGAACGGCCACAUUGGGACUGAGAUACGGCCCAGACUCCUACGGGAGGCAGCAGUGGAGAAUAUUGGGCAAUGGGGGAAACCCUGACCCAGCAACGCCGCGUGAAGGAAGAAGGCUUUCGGGUUGUAAACUUCUUUUACCAGGGACGAAGAACGUGACGGUACCUGGAGAAAAAGCCACGGCUAACUACGUGCCAGCAGCCGCGGUAAUACGUAGGUGGCAAGCGUUGUCCGGAUUUACUGGGUGUAAAGGGCGUGUAGGCGGAGCUGCAAGUCAGAUGUGAAAUCUGGGGGCUUAACCCUCAAACUGCAUUUGAAACUGUAGCCCUUGAGUAUCGGAGAGGCAGGCGGAAUUCCUAGUGUAGCGGUGAAAUGCGUAGAUAUUAGGAAGAACACCAGUGGCGAAGGCGGCCUGCUGGACGACAACUGACGCUGAGGCGCGAAAGCGUGGGGAGCAGACAGGAUUAGAUACCCUGGUAGUCCACGCUGUAAACGAUGAAUACUAGGUGUGGGGGGACUGACCCCCUCCGUGCCGGAGUUAACACAAUAAGUAUUCCACCUGGGGAGUACGACCGCAAGGUUGAAACUCAAAGGAAUUGACGGGGGCCCGCACAAGCAGUGGAUUAUGUGGUUUAAUUCGACGCAACGCGAAGAACCUUACCGGGAUUUGACAUCCUACUAACGAAGCAGAGAUGCAUUAGGUGCCCUUCGGGGAAAGUAGAGACAGGUGGUGCAUGGUUGUCGUCAGCUCGUGUCGUGAGAUGUUGGGUUAAGUCCCGCAACGAGCGCAACCCCUAUUGUUAGUUGCUACGCAAGAGCACUCUAGCGAGACUGCCGUUGACAAAACGGAGGAAGGCGGGGACGACGUCAAAUCAUCAUGCCCCUUAUGUCCCGGGCUACACACGUAAUACAAUGGCGGUCAACAAAGGGAAGCAAAGCCGCGAGGCAGAGCAAACCCCCAAAAGCCGUCUCAGUUCGGAUUGCAGGCUGCAACUCGCCUGCAUGAAGCUGGAAUUGCUAGUAAUCGUGGAUCAGAAUGCCACGGUGAAUACGUUCCCGGGCCUUGUACACACCGCCCGUCACACCAUGAGAGUCGGGAACACCCGAAGUCCGUAGUCUAACCCGCAAGGGAGGGCGCGGCCGAAGGUGGGUCUGAUAAUUGGGGUGAAGUCGUAACAAGGUA